GUCUUCGUGGUGUAGUGGUCAACACGCUCGACCCGUAUUCGAGAGGUCUGUUGUUCAAGUCCCGGCGAAAGCA
This 73-nucleotide transfer RNA is filed under the name Stegodyphus mimosarum. It matches the Rfam family "tRNA". From Rfam's summary of the family: Transfer RNA (tRNA) molecules are approximately 80 nucleotides in length. The record is from Rfam by way of RNAcentral. Lineage: Eukaryota; Metazoa; Arthropoda; Arachnida; Araneae; Eresidae.